CAACAAAUAUUUUAAGAGAAGAUAUUAAUUUUGGGUAUUAAAGAUGUGUUAAUUUUCACUUUGUUGA
This 67-nucleotide transfer RNA is filed under the name Drabescus ineffectus. RNAcentral's name for it is "tRNA-Pro". Lineage: Eukaryota; Metazoa; Arthropoda; Insecta; Hemiptera; Cicadellidae. The record is from RNAcentral.